UACUAUAACCAGCUUUUCGUAUAAUUCCGGGGAUUGGCCCGGUUGUUUCUACGAGGUCACCGUAAUGAUCUGGCUACGAAAGAUUG
RNAcentral lists this non-coding RNA (86 nucleotides) under Paenibacillus tuaregi. Its description in RNAcentral is "Purine riboswitch". The stretch from base 14 to 85 matches the Rfam family "Purine riboswitch aptamer", at positions 18 to 91 of the family's 102-position model. From Rfam's summary of the family: Riboswitches are metabolite binding domains within certain messenger RNAs that serve as precision sensors for their corresponding targets. Allosteric rearrangement of mRNA structure is mediated by ligand binding, and this results in modulation of gene expression. The record is from RNAcentral. Lineage: Bacteria; Bacillati; Bacillota; Bacilli; Caryophanales; Paenibacillaceae.